AGGAGAGUCCUUCCUGCAGCUGCGGCAGCGCCUCCUGAGGGAGAAGGAGGUGAAGCUCCGGAGGGCCCUGGAGAGGCUGCGCAGGAAGAGGCAGCUCCUGCGGAGGCAGCGCGCCAAGCGGGAGUUCCCGGUGGUCGCCGUGGUCGGGUACACCAACUGCGGUGAGGCGCCGCCCGCAGAGUGCGGCCUCGGCAGGGCAGGGCCCAGGCCCGGGUUCCGCGGCCGGCCCCGCAGCGAAGGCCAGAGACAGCUGCGGGCAGCUCUGCAGAGGCCCGAGCAGGACGCGGGGUCUGGCUCCCCUGGUCGCUGCCCAGGAUAAACGCCCGCGGCCAGCCCGCCGUGUGCGCGCUCUGCACGCGGGAGGAUCCAGGUCCGCACCCCCGGGGCCCCGGGGCCCUGCCUGAGAAGGGGCAGCCAGGUAUGGCCCAGGUGCCCCCGAGGCAGGUCCAGGGAGCAGCCCAGUGGGGAGGCCGGUCACCAGGGGCCACCACAAAGCCACCUUCAGACCCAGUUCCUACACCAUCCUCAAGACACCACUGCACAGCGCCAGGCCCGUGUACACCACCCCACACCAGGUACACGAACCAGGUCUGUCUACACCACCCGCAAGAACCAGGUCCGUCUCCACCACCCCACACCAGGUGCAGGAACCAAGUCCAUCCACACCACCCCACCCCAGGUGCAGGAACCAGGUCCAUCCACACCACCCCACACCAGGCUGGUCCACAGCACCCACCCCACCAUCUACACCGCAUGCUGUGUGCACACGUCACCUGCACCACCACCCCUCCUGGCUGCACACGACCCAGGGCUAGUCCUGUACCUUCCCUCUCUGGCCACCAGGGUCGCUGAGGAGCUGGCACCCAGGGCCUGGGUAAACUGGAUCUUGCUGCCUCUGCCAGGGCCGGGUCUCAGGGGUGGACAGGGCCUGUGGCCAGGCCAGGCGGGGCUCCCUGGGACCUCGUGUGUGUGUCCUGUGCCUCCCCCAGGGAAAACCACACUGAUCCGGGCCCUGACGGGUGACGAGGCCGCGCAGCCUCGGGACCAGCUGUUUGCCACACUGGACAUCACGGCCCAUGCAGGAUCCCUGCCCUCGCGCAUGACCGUCCUCUACAUGGACACCAUCGGCUUCCUCUCCCAGCUGCCCCACGGCCUGAUCGAGUCCUUCUCUGCCACCCUGGAGGAUGUGGCCCACUCGGUGAGUUGGGUGGCCCUGUGGACAAGACCCCAUAGACAAGCCCUGGGGGCCAGGCCCCUCCGUAGGACAUGAUCCUCCAGCUCCAGCAGGAGUCCCUGGGCCUCCCCAGGGGACAGAAACCACAGGAGUCCAGCUCCCCCAGCCCUGGAGGGCAGAGGCUGGACCAGGGGUCACAGGCUCCAGGGAGGCUCCUCCUACCUGUCCAGCUCCUGGGGCCCAGGCGCGGAGGUGAGCGGACGGGCAGUGUGACUGGUGGCGCAGCCAGGAACCUCCCAUGCAAACCGUCUCGCGGUCCAGCCCCGACGGGGUGGACUGUCCCCACCCGUGGGCCACGCUUCUCCUGGAGAAGUUGCAGAAGUCACAAUGACCUCACGGAGGCCCAGGCUGUGCGUGGGGGCCAGGGCAGGGCGCCGGCCAGCCUCCACGGGCAGCUCCUCGUUCUGGGGCCCGGGAGGCCAGGCCAGCCACUGGAGACGGGGUGCUGGCGGGCGGUGGCAGGACCCAGGCACAGGAACUAGGAAGCCUGUGUCCACCUCGGACAUGUCCUGGCCUCCAGCAGCCCUGUCUUGGGGGUCAGGGCCACCCCCACUGCCACCUUCCUAGGCGGUGGUGCCCUCGAGCCCCUCCUGGGCCUCCCACAGGCAGGUGAGCACGACCCCGGAGCCCCGUCCCCAGCCUGUUUUGUGUUUUAUUAGAGACUGGGUCUCCUUGAGCUGCUUAGGGCCUCACCUUUACCCCCUGACCAUGUGGCCUGUCCACAGGCAGCUGGGGACGGCAGCCCUGCAGCCCCCUGACCAUGUGGCCUAUCCACAAGCAGGUGGGGACAGCAGUCCCCUGACCAUGUACCUGUCCACAGGCAGCUGGGGACGGCAGCCCUGCAGCCCCCUGACCAUGUACCUGUCCACAGGCCGGUGGGGACGGCAGCCCCCUGACCAUGUGGCCUGUCCACAGGCAGGUGGGGAUGGAAGUCCCCUGACCCGUGGCCUCCCUGUCCACCAGGAUCUCAUUGUGCACGUGAGAGACGUCAGCCACCCCGAGACGGAGCUGCAGAAAGUCAGCGUCCUGUCUGCCCUGCAGGGCCUGGGCCUGCCCGCCCCUCUGCUGGACUCCGUGGUCGAAGUGCACAACAAGGUGGAUCUGGUUCCGGGGUGAGUGGGCCGCGCUGCACCCACAGGCUUCUCC
Molecule: long non-coding RNA, 2380 nt
Filed under: Marmota monax (woodchuck)
Lineage: Eukaryota; Metazoa; Chordata; Mammalia; Rodentia; Sciuridae
Source: RNAcentral